UACGUAGGCAGCGAGCGUCGUUCGGAUUUACUGGGCGUAAAGGGUGUGUAGGCGGUUGUUUAAGUUUGGUGUGAAAUCUCCCGGCUCAACUGGGAGGGUGCGCCGAAUACUGAAUGACUAGAGUGCGGGAGAGGAAAGUGGAAUUCCUGGUGUAGCGGUGAAAUGCGUAGAUAUCAGGAGGAACACCGGUGGUGUAGACGGCUUUCUGGACCGUAACUGACGCUGAGACACGAAAGCGUGGGUAGCAAACAGG
Molecule: ribosomal RNA, 253 nt
Filed under: uncultured bacterium
Lineage: Bacteria
Description: partial 16S ribosomal RNA
Rfam family: Bacterial small subunit ribosomal RNA
Source: RNAcentral